AUUGAACGCUGGCGGCAGGCCUAACACAUGCAAGUCGAGCGGAUGAAGGGAGCUUGCUCCUGGAUUCAGCGGCGGACGGGUGAGUAAUGCCUAGGAAUCUGCCUGGUAGUGGGGGAUAACGUCCGGAAACGGGCGCUAAUACCGCAUACGUCCUGAGGGAGAAAGUGGGGGAUCUUCGGACCUCACGCGAUCAGAUGAGCCUAGGUCGGAUUAGCUAGUUGGUGGGGUAAAGGCCUACCAAGGCGACGAUCCGUAACUGGUCUGAGAGGAUGAUCAGUCACACUGGAACUGAGACACGGUCCAGACUCCUAUGGGAGGCAGCAGUGGGGAAUAUUGGACAAUGGGCGAAAGCCUGAUCCAGCCAUGCCGCGUGUGUGAAGAAGGUCUUCGGAUUGUAAAGCCCUUUAAGUUGGGAGGAAGGGCAGUAAGUUAAUACCUUGCUGUUUUGACGUUACCAACAGAAUAAGCACCGGCUAACUUCGUG
This 484-nucleotide ribosomal RNA is filed under the name uncultured bacterium. Its description in RNAcentral is "partial 16S ribosomal RNA". It matches the Rfam family "Bacterial small subunit ribosomal RNA", at positions 30 to 507 of the family's 1533-position model. The record is from RNAcentral.